This 360-nucleotide ribosomal RNA is filed under the name uncultured Comamonas sp. RNAcentral's name for it is "bacterial SSU rRNA". It matches the Rfam family "Bacterial small subunit ribosomal RNA", at positions 1016 to 1382 of the family's 1533-position model. Lineage: Bacteria; Pseudomonadati; Pseudomonadota; Betaproteobacteria; Burkholderiales; Comamonadaceae. The record is from RNAcentral.
UCUUCGGAGAGCGUACACACAGGUGCUGCACGGCUGUCGUCAGCUCGUGUCGUGAGAUGUUGGGUUAAGUCCCGCAACGAGCGCAACCCCUGUUGUUAGUUGCUACGAAAGGGCACUCUAAUGAGACUGCCGGUGACAAACCGGAGGAAGUGGGGAUGACGUCAAGUCCUCAUGGCCCUUAUAGGUGGGGCUACACACGUCAUACAAUGGACUGGUACAAAGGGUUGCCAACCCGCGAGGGGGAGCCAAUCCCAUAAAGCCAGUCGUAGUCCGGAUCGCAGUCUGCAACUCGACUGCGUGAAGUCGGAAUCGCUAGUAAUCGUGGAUCAGCAUGUCACGGCGAAUACGUUCCCGGGUCUU